AGCGAACGCUGGCGGCAGGCUUAACACAUGCAAGUCGAGCGGGCACUUCGGUGUCAGCGGCAGACGGGUGAGUAACACGUGGGAACGUACCCUUCGGUUCGGAAUAACGCUGGGAAACUAGCGCUAAUACCGGAUACGCCCUUUUGGGGAAAGGUUUACUGCCGAAGGAUCGGCCCGCGUCUGAUUAGCUAGUUGGUGGGGUAAUGGCCUACCAAGGCGACGAUCAGUAGCUGGUCUGAGAGGAUGAUCAGCCACACUGGGACUGAGACACGGCCCAGACUCCUACGGGAGGCAGCAGUGGGGAAUAUUGGACAAUGGGCGCAAGCCUGAUCCAGCCAUGCCGCGUGAGUGAUGAAGGCCUUAGGGUUGUAAAGCUCUUUUGUCCGGGACGAUAAUGACGGUACCGGAAGAAUAAGCCCGGGCUAACUUCGUG
This 433-nucleotide ribosomal RNA is filed under the name uncultured bacterium. RNAcentral's name for it is "partial 16S ribosomal RNA". It matches the Rfam family "Bacterial small subunit ribosomal RNA", at positions 29 to 507 of the family's 1533-position model. The record is from RNAcentral.